Molecule: non-coding RNA, 117 nt
Organism: Triticum aestivum (bread wheat)
Lineage: Eukaryota; Viridiplantae; Streptophyta; Magnoliopsida; Poales; Poaceae
Source: Rfam
CUCAUACUCCCUCCAUCCGAAAUACUUGUCAUCAAAAUGGAUAAAAGGGGAUAUAUUUAGAUACAUCCCCUUUUAUCCAUUUUGAUGACAAGUAUUUCCGGACGGAGGGAGUACUAA